RNAcentral lists this long non-coding RNA (1231 nucleotides) under Zonotrichia albicollis (white-throated sparrow). RNAcentral's name for it is "lncRNA (ENSZALG00000001911.1)". The record is from RNAcentral. Lineage: Eukaryota; Metazoa; Chordata; Aves; Passeriformes; Passerellidae.
AUGGGAUCAGUGUGGCAAUGGGAUCAGCGUGGCCACAGGAUCAGUGGGGCUGUGGGAUCAGCUUGGCCAUGGGAUCAGUGUGGCCAUGGGAUCAGCGUGGCUGUGGGCUCAGUGUGGCCACAGGAUCACUGUGGCCAUGGGCUCAGGUGUGGCUGUGGGCUCGGUGUGGCCAUGGGAUCACCGUGCUCAUGGGAUCACCGUGCCCAUGGGAUCACUGUGCCCAUGGGAUCACCGUGUCCAUGGGAUCACUGCUCCCAUGGGACCACCGUGCUCAUGGGAUCACUAUUCCCAUGGGAUCACUGUUCCCAUGGGAUCACUGUGUCCACGGGAUCACCGUUCCCAUGGGAUCACCGUGCCCAUGGGAUCACCGUGUCCAUGGGAUCACCGUUCCCACGGGAUCACCGUUCCCAUGGGAUCACCGUGUCCAUGGGAUCACUGCUCCCAUGGGAUCACUGUGUCCACGGGAUCACUGUGCUCAUGGGAUCACCGUGUCCAUGGGAUCACUGUUCCCACGGGAUCACCGUGCCCACGGGAUCACCGCGCCCACGGGAUCACCAUUCCCAUGGGAUCACUGUGUCCAUGGGAAUCACCGUUCCCAUGGGACCACUGUGUCCAUGGGAUCACCGUGCCCACGGGAUCACUGUGCUCAUGGGAUCACUGUGUCCAUGGGAUCACUGUUCCCAUGGGAUCACUGUGUCCAUGGGAUCACUGUUCCCACGGGAUCACCGUGCCCAUGGGAUCACUGUGUCCAUGGGAUCACCGUGCCCAUGGGAUCACUGCUCCCAUGGGAUCACUGUGCUCAUGGGAUCACUGUGUCCAUGGGAAUCACCGUUCCCAUGGGACCACUGUGUCCAUGGGAUCACCGUUCCCAUGGGAUCACUGUGUCCAUGGGAUCACUGUGCUCAUGGGAUCACUGUUCCCAUGGGAUCACUGUGUCCAUGGGAUCACUGUUCCCAUGGGAUCACUGUGUCCAUGGGAUCACCGUGCCCACGGGAUCACUGUUCCCAUGGGAUCACUGUUCCCAUGGGAUCACUGUUCCCAUGGGAUCACUGUUCCCACGGGACCACCGUGCUCAUGGGAUCACCGUGGCCACGGGAUCUCUGUGGGAUUCCCAUCUGCGAUGCUGAGGGAUCCCGCCUGCUGCAUUCCUGCUUUUUCUGGGAUCAAUNUUCCCCAGCUCCGCUCCCUCCGUGCGGGGGUCCGGCGGCUCCGACCGCGCCAGAUGUUUUUG